This 350-nucleotide ribosomal RNA is filed under the name uncultured soil bacterium. RNAcentral describes it as "bacterial SSU rRNA". It matches the Rfam family "Bacterial small subunit ribosomal RNA", at positions 27 to 389 of the family's 1533-position model. The record is from RNAcentral.
GAUUGAACGCUGGCGGCAUGCCUAACACAUGCAAGUCGAACGGGAGUAGCAAUACUCUAGUGGCGGACGGGUGAGGAAUACGUAGGAAUUUGCCCUUAAGUGGGGGAUAACCCGGGGAAACCCGGAUUAAUACCGCAUGACCUCGAAAGAGCAAAGUGGGGGAUCGCAAGACCUCACGCUUUUGGAGAAGCCUACGUCGGAUUAGCUGGUUGGUGAGGUAAUGGCUCACCAAGGCGACGAUCCGUAACUGGUCUGAGAGGAUGAUCAGUCACACCGGAACUGAGACACGGUCCGGACUCCUACGGGAGGCAGCAGUGGGGAAUAUUGGACAAUGGGCGCAAGCCUGAUCC